AUCCAGCUGACGAGUCCGAAAUAGGACGAAACGUGCUUCCUGGAU
Non-coding RNA from Schistosoma haematobium, 45 nucleotides. Lineage: Eukaryota; Metazoa; Platyhelminthes; Trematoda; Strigeidida; Schistosomatidae. The record is from Rfam.